UGGUGGAGUGAUUUGUCUGGUUAAUUCCGUUAACGAACGAGACCUCAGCCUACUAAAUAGUGAUGCGAAUCUUAGGAUUCGUAGACCACUUCUUAGAGGGACAAUUUGUGUUUAGCGAAUGGAAGUUGGAGGCAAUAACA
RNAcentral lists this ribosomal RNA (140 nucleotides) under uncultured eukaryote. RNAcentral's name for it is "partial 18S ribosomal RNA". It matches the Rfam family "Eukaryotic small subunit ribosomal RNA", at positions 1299 to 1458 of the family's 1831-position model. The record is from RNAcentral.